Molecule: long non-coding RNA, 1185 nt
Organism: Mangifera indica (mango)
Lineage: Eukaryota; Viridiplantae; Streptophyta; Magnoliopsida; Sapindales; Anacardiaceae
Exons: 2
Source: RefSeq, a predicted model, not a curated record
UAGAUUAUGGACAGCCCUUUGAGUUUUGGGUGGUAAUUAUAGCUUUUGAAUUCAAAGGAGGGGAAUUGCGAUUUCACCAAACCAUACCAUGGGUUCCACUCCACGGACCAUGAACUUCUCACGUACUAUUUAUUUUUCAACUUCUGAUAGUAUGACGUAUUUUACGAUCAAUUCAAGGGCGCCCAGAGCCAUGCCAAGUCAUAAAGUCAUUAAAAAGAGAGCGCUUGUGAACAAAUGAAGUGUCAUUUCAUGAUUUAAACUUUUUCUUUCAAAAAACCGUCUGCUUCUCUUGCUUUCUUCUCUGUACAGAUACAGAUCAAAACGACUUACUCAGGGUUAAAGCUAAACUUCUCACGUGUUCCCCGAUGACGACCCUUUUUCGCCAAUCAUUUUUCAGUUCGCAAAAAUAUAAUAAGAGAAGACAAUAAUCUGGUGCAAAUCGGCUUGUCAUAUACAAUCAUGUUCGAAGCUCACGUAUGAAUUAUUUUUCAUUUUACUUUUGUUUAUAUAUUUAAUUUCGUGUUAGUUGAAUUGGAGCUACGUGAAUCACUAGUUUAUAAUUUUGAUGAUGGUGGAUGUCGUUUUCGGUAUCAUGUAGUGUUAAAGCUUGACAAGUUUAUUACUAUUAUAUAAUCUAGCUUUGUUGCUUUAAGAAUUAAUUAAGUUCAAUGGGAACCGUCUUAUUUUUUUGGCUAAUUAUUUUUUCUUUUUGCAUUGUCAUGUUCGGAAUCAGUUACAUGCGGAGCAAAUUAUAUUGAUUAAAGGAUUUUAGAAUUUCGUAAUAUUUUAUUUAUAUUUUUCUUGUGAGUUAUUGUCGUGAAUUUGAGUUGUUUUUGGCUUGAUUAUAAAUCUGUUGGUUUUAUUACUUGAUAAUUUAUUCUUGUGUAAGUUGACGUGAAUAAUGGAGAGGUUUAUAACGGUUCUUCACUUGUAGGUUCUGCAUUUGCUUCGAAGAUAUUUGGGUGAAUAUGUCCAUGGACUUUCUGUGGAGGCUUUAAGAAUCAGUGUUUGGAAAGGUGAUGUGGUUUUGAAAGAUUUGAAUUUGAAGGCGGAGGCACUAAAUUCUUUAAAGCUCCCUGUGAUUGUCAAAGCUGGUUUUGUUGGUACCGUAACAUUGAAGGUGGCUAUCAUCAAUCUUGUAACUAAUUGAUUUUCUUGACUCAAAUUUUAUCUUGUUUGAUUAAA